Long non-coding RNA from Helianthus annuus (common sunflower), 2042 nucleotides. RefSeq lists it as uncharacterized. The record is from RefSeq and is a predicted model, not a curated record. The transcript has 4 exons. NCBI's taxonomy places the organism in Eukaryota, Viridiplantae, Streptophyta, Magnoliopsida, Asterales, Asteraceae.
UAUUUGGUAAACACACGUCUUUUCAUUCCCCACCUUCAAAGAAGACAGAGGAGAGGAAGAGAACAGAGAAAAAGGGAGAAGAGAAAGCGAGCCAGGAAGUCUCCGCCGACCGGCGAUGCAGGCUGCCCGAUGCGAAGUUGGGUCAUCGCACUGGCGGUUAACCGCCGUAAUCCAAGUGGUGGCUAGGGUUUCGUUGGUAACAACAACUACACUAGCAAGAUGAUUCAUUCACAACAUGAACAUUAUCUUUCUUAAUCAAUUGUUUGCAUCAAUUCGGGUAGCUUCUUGCUCUAUUUCUUCUUGUCUUUGUUUAAAUUCACAUAUUAAAUUCAAAAUCUCACAUAGCAACAUGGAUCUACUGCCUUCAUUGAGUUCUAAACAUGUUGAUGCUGUAAUUUAGUUAAAUAGUUGUUUAGGGUUUUAUUCAAAUUUGGGUUUUAUUAGCUUUUGACAAUUGGGGAUUUUGAAUUUCUGAUGGUGUAUAGAAAAUUGGUGAAUUAUUUAUGUUACUUGGUAAAAUUAAGAACAUAAAGAAUUAAUGGAAGAUUAUUCUAAGUAUUCCCAUAGUCCUGCUCCUCUAGCUGUUGCUCAACGAGACCAUACCAUGUUUAAGAAACUUAUGACUAUCCUCUGAUAGUUGGCGAAAGCUGGUGCGGCUAACACCUAGGCUGAAUCUGUAGCUGCUGAUCUUGAUGCGGAUAUCACGUUGCUUAUGUUAAACACUAAUUCCAUUCCGACCACAUUGACAGCCACCGUGACCAUUUCGUAACCAUCGCCCUCUGCUAACCAGAAUUUUUGCCUCAGUUUAUAUUCUAAUACGCGACAAGGUACCUUAAUCGAACUACCUUUCGAUUUCAAAUUACUUAUUCAGUUAGGUACCUUAAUUGAACUACCUUUCGAUUUCAAAUUACUUAUUCAGUUAAUUGGUUUGCUCAUUUUGUUGAACUCUGUUAUAAUACUCAAUACACCACAUUGAGAAAAGAAGGGUUCUAAAUAACAAAGUAUAAGCACAUUUGUAUAUGUAUUCUAUCUAUAUUUUUGAUUCAUAGAUCAGCAAAGGAAUCUAGUUGUGAUUCCGAAUUUGUGGGAUUGGAAGGUUGUUGUUGGCAUCUGCACGUCAUAUGGAUAUGUAAGAAAUAAUAUCACCUGCUUUUAGUUGAUUUCAAAUAAUAUUGUUCUUAUUAUUUGUUAUUAUGCAGAAAAGAAUAUUGCUUGAUGUGAUGUGAGAUUGUAUGAAUAAACGUUUGGCCAUAUAUACUACUUUGAAAGCAACCUUUAUUAUGGGAAGUCCUAUAUACAACCUUAGUUAUAAAACUCUCCACUAUAUAUCUUGCCUUCAUAUAUGAAAGAGAGUUCAGACCUUAUUCCAUCUAAUAUUAGAAGUAGAGUUGGAUGUUCAAUUAUUUCCAAGACUUUUGCCAUAAAAGCUUAGAUAUUGAAGAAAAGAAACUGUCAAGCCUGGUUUCAAUAAGCGAGAGAUGCGUAUAGGUCUCGAAAGCCAAGGUGCCAGACGUGAGAAUUAUAAAAAGUCUGAUGUUUGAAGAAUUUAUAUAUCAUGUUUAGCACACAGAUGUAGCUCAUAAUAUAAAAAAAUCACCAGCUGUUGACAACAAUCUCUACUGUCGUUGAUCUCAACUACCCGGAGAAAACGAUCACAUUUUAUAUAGUAAAUGUGGCAGACGAGAGGCGCGUGUUGGUCAGCUUGUAGGGGGAAAAAGUUGCUCAAACCUGUGGAUGAAUCUCAGGAUCGUACAAAAGGCAAUAGUUGAGAGAGUUGGCUAUUCUAAACAAUAACCUUCGAUAGCAUAGUACGCAGCCAAGAGGCAGUGUGUCGCCUUUUGGUUCCAACAGAAAAAAAACGUGCCAAGACCAGGUUCCGAGGAACCCGACAUCGUAUUUAUUUGCUUAUGAAAGAAACAAUUACUGUAUUUAUUUGUUAUCAACCUGUGUGUAUUAGUGUACACAAUUAUUUGUAUAACGUUGUAGUUAUAGUUGUUACUCGGAUUUUGAUAACGAAAGAAUUAUGAUAAGCUUAAACACAA